UUUAGAGGAAGUAAAAGUCGUAACAAGGUCUCCGUUGGUGAACCAGCGGAGGGAUCAUUACCGAGUUUACAACUCCCAAACCCCUGUGAACAUACCUAUACGUUGCCUCGGCGGAUCAGCCCGCGCCCCGUAAAACGGGACGGCCCGCCCGAGGACCCCUAAACUCUGUUUUUAGUGGAACUUCUGAGUAAAACAAACAAAUAAAUCAAAACUUUCAACAACGGAUCUCUUGGUUCUGGCAUCGAUGAAGAACGCAGCAAAAUGCGAUAAGUAAUGUGAAUUGCAGAAUUCAGUGAAUCAUCGAAUCUUUGAACGCACAUUGCGCCCGCCAGUAUUCUGGCGGGCAUGCCUGUUCGAGCGUCAUUUCAACCCUCAAGCUCAGCUUGGUGUUGGGACUCGCGGUAACCCGCGUUCCCCAAAUCGAUUGGCGGUCACGUCGAGCUUCCAUAGCGUAGUAAUCAUACACCUCGUUACUGGUAAUCGUCGCGGCCACGCCGUAAAACCCCAACUUCUGAAUGUUGACCUCGGAUCAGGUAGGAAUACCCGCUGAACUUAAGCAUAUCAAUAAG
Molecule: ribosomal RNA, 569 nt
Filed under: uncultured fungus
Lineage: Eukaryota; Fungi
Description: eukaryotic LSU rRNA
Rfam family: 5.8S ribosomal RNA (bases 210-363)
Source: RNAcentral